GACGAACGCUGGCGGCGUGCUUAACACAUGCAAGUCGAACGGAAAGGCCCUGCUUUUGUGGGGUGCUCGAGUGGCGAACGGGUGAGUAACACGUGAGUAACCUGCCCUUGACUUUGGGAUAACUUCAGGAAACUGGGGCUAAUACCGGAUAGGAGCUCCUGCUGCAUGGUGGGGGUUGGAAAGUUUCGGCGGUUGGGGAUGGACUCGCGGCUUAUCAGCUUGUUGGUGGGGUAGUGGCUUACCAAGGCUUUGACGGGUAGCCGGCCUGAGAGGGUGACCGGCCACAUUGGGACUGAGAUACGGCCCAGACUCCUACGGGAGGCAGCAGUGGGGAAUAUUGCACAAUGGGCGGAAGCCUGAUGCAGCAACGCCGCGUGCGGGAUGACGGCCUUCGGGUUGUAAACCGCUUUCGCCUGUGAUGAAGCGUGAGUGACGGUAAUGGGUAAAGAAGCACCGGCUAACUACGUGCCAGCAGCCGCGGUGAUACGUAGGGUGCGAGCGUUGUCCGGAUUUAUUGGGCGUACAAGGCUCGUAGGUGGUUGAUCGCGUCGGAAGUGUAAUCUUGGGGCUUAACCCUGAGCGUGCCUUCGAUACGGGUUGACUUGAGGAAGGUAGGGGAGAAUGGAAUUCCUGGUGGAGCGGUGGAAUGCGCAGAUAUCAGGAGGAACACCAGUGGCGAAGGCGGUUCUCUGGGCCUUUCCUGACGCUGAGGAGCGAAAGCGUGGGGAGCGAACAGGCUUAGAUACCCUGGUAGUCCACGCUGUAAACGGUGGGUACUAGGUGUGGGGUCCAUUCCACGGGUUCCGUGCCGUAGCUAACGCUUUAAGUACCCCGCCUGGGGAGUACGGCCGCAAGGCUAAAACUCAAAGGAAUUGACGGGGCCCCGCACAAGCGGCGGAGCAUGCGGAUUAAUUCGAUGCAACGCGUAGAACCUUACCUGGGUUUGACAUGGAUCGGGAGUGCUCAGAGAUGGGUGUGCCUCUUUUGGGGUCGGUUCACAGGUGGUGCAUGGCUGUCGUCAGCUCGUGUCGUGAGAUGUUGGGUUAAGUCCCGCAACGAGCGCAACCCUUGUUCACUGUUGCCAGCACGUUAUGGUGGGGACUCAGUGGAGACCGCCGGGGUCAACUCGGAGGAAGGUGGGGAUGACGUCAAGUCAUCAUGCCCCUUAUGUCCAGGGCUUCACGCAUGCUACAAUGGCUGGUACAGAGAGUGGCGAGCCUGUGAGGGUGAGCGAAUCUCGGAAAGCCGGUCUCAGUUCGGAUUGGGGUCUGCAACUCGACCUCAUGAAGUCGGAGUCGCUAGUAAUCGCAGAUCAGCAACGCUGCGGUGAAUACGUUCCCGGGGCU
RNAcentral lists this ribosomal RNA (1346 nucleotides) under uncultured bacterium. Its description in RNAcentral is "partial 16S ribosomal RNA". It matches the Rfam family "Bacterial small subunit ribosomal RNA", at positions 28 to 1381 of the family's 1533-position model. The record is from RNAcentral.